UGGGGAAUAUUGGACAAUGGGCGCAAGCCUGAUCCAGCCAUGCCGCGUGAGUGAUGAAGGCCUUAGGGUUGUAAAGCUCUUUCGUUGGGGAAGAUAAUGACGGUACCCAAAGAAGAAGCCCCGGCUAACUUCGUGCCAGCAGCCGCGGUAAUACGAAGGGGGCUAGCGUUGUUCGGAAUUACUGGGCGUAAAGCGCACGUAGGCGGACUGUUUAGUUGGGGGUGAAAUCCCAGGGCUCAACCCUGGAAUUGCCUCCAAUACUGGCAGUCUCGAGGCCGAGAGAGGUGAGUGGAACUCCGAGUGUAGAGGUGAAAUUCGUAGAUAUUCGGAAGAACACCAGUGGCGAAGGCGGCUCACUGGCUCGGUACUGACGCUGAGGUGCGAAAGCGUGGGGAGCAAACAGG
This 404-nucleotide ribosomal RNA is filed under the name uncultured bacterium. RNAcentral describes it as "bacterial SSU rRNA". It matches the Rfam family "Bacterial small subunit ribosomal RNA", at positions 355 to 776 of the family's 1533-position model. The record is from RNAcentral.